Molecule: long non-coding RNA, 431 nt
Organism: Ictalurus punctatus (channel catfish)
Lineage: Eukaryota; Metazoa; Chordata; Actinopteri; Siluriformes; Ictaluridae
Source: Ensembl
CACGCCUACCUCCUCCAGAAUGUUCUUGCCUUGUCUAGAUGUUGUGAAGGGGUUUUUCUUCAACAAGGAAAGAAUUCUGCGAUCGUCCACUUUUGGUGUCUCUGAGCUCUCCACCUAACGAUGACCUCCUUCACCUGCAUCAACACGUCUUUGGACCGAAUAUUAAGAUUUCUCAUGAACAGAUACCGAAUGCAAAUUCAACACUUGGAAUCGACUCAAGACUUUUUAUCUCCUUAAUUUGUCAUGAAAUAACGAGGAAACAGGUCACACCUGGCCAUGAAACUGCUUACCAGUCAAUUGUCCCAUUACUUUUGAACCGUGUAAAUGGAGGGACUCUGUAAAAAAAAAAAAAAGGCUGUAAUUCCUAAACGGUUAAAAUGCUAUGUCAUGUAGAUGUGUUAUGUUGUAUUUUACACCUAAAAUGUUAAUGA